AUGGGAACGCGAAGAACCUUACCUAGACUUGACAUCUCCUGAAUAACGUAGAGAUACGCGAAGCCCUUCGGGGCAGGGAGACAGGUGGUGCAUGGUUGUCGUCAGCUCGUGUCGUGAGAUGUUGGGUUAAGUCCCGCAACGAGCGCAACCCUUAUCAUUAGUUGCUACCAUUUAGUUGAGCACUCUAGUGAGACUGCCCGGGUUAACCGGGAGGAAGGCGGGGAUGACGUCAAAUCAUCAUGCCCCUUAUGUCUAGGGCUACACACGUGCUACAAUGGUGAGAACAACGAGAUGCAAUACCGCGAGGUGGAGCAAAACUUCAAAACUCAUCUCAGUUCGGAUUGUAGGCUGAAACUCGCCUACAUGAAGUUGGAGUUGCUAGUAAUCGCGAAUCAGAAUGCCGCGGUGAAUACGUUCCCGGGUCUUGUACACACCG
RNAcentral lists this ribosomal RNA (436 nucleotides) under uncultured bacterium. RNAcentral describes it as "bacterial SSU rRNA". It matches the Rfam family "Bacterial small subunit ribosomal RNA", at positions 954 to 1392 of the family's 1533-position model. The record is from RNAcentral.